This is a long non-coding RNA of Meriones unguiculatus (Mongolian gerbil), 3519 nucleotides long. RefSeq lists it as uncharacterized. The record is from RefSeq and is a predicted model, not a curated record. Lineage: Eukaryota; Metazoa; Chordata; Mammalia; Rodentia; Muridae. The transcript is spliced from 4 exons.
ACCGAAUCCCUCAGAUCUCCUGUCAGACCUCUCCUCUGGAGCCUAUCAGAUUCCUCACGCCUCCCCAAGGAUUCCAGACUGGGCCCUUCUUCCCGGAACCGCCACUGCUCUUCCUUCACCGGGCCUCCCACCACAAAACACACUUCCCAAUGGUAACCCCUGGCCAAGACCGGCGCCGGGUCACUCGGGAUGCCACCCUAGUCCCUUCAGAAGCAGAAGCGGAGCAACCCCUGGUCAUCUGGCGUCCCCAGGCCCUGCCUGGCUGCUCUCAGGGUGGUCUUGCCUCCCGUUCCACCGCUUGGGGCAGCCCGAUCCAACUCUAACAAUCGUGUGCAAUCCAAGACAGGCCUGGCUCUGCGGAAGCUCCACACAAGCCUUCAUCUCUCCACCGUUCUCCCAGUGCACUCUGACCUGACGUCAACCCCGCCCAGAGGCUGACCACAUCCCAGCAUCUACACUAAUUCCGUCAGGUAAACUGGCAAACACCUGUAUUUCCGGCCCUCGGGAAUGAAGCAAGAUGAUCGUGAGUUUGGAGCCAGCCUGGAAACAUAAUGAGAUCCCAUCUCAAACAAGCAAGCAAAUGAGCCCGGUGAAAGUGCAGGCUCGGAUGAUGGCCCUCGGUGAUGGUCUUGCGGAGAAUAAAGGUGAUGCGGUGAAGAGGUAGGAGCUGCUAGGACUCAGGGAACGGAGCAGCGUUUUCUGGAGAUGGGACAUCUUCAAGUUCCAGGUGCUGACCAACAUCAAGAGAGGUGAUCCCUGCCAAAAAGGUUUGGCUCGUGACUGGAAUAUAUUCGUUACAAAUUACACUUUAAAACUUUCACACAGGGGCAGCUGAGAAGGUAAAAGCACUUGCUGGGAGAGAACGGAUUCCUGAAAGGUGUCCUCUGACCUCCAUAUGUGUGAAGUGGCAUACAUACACCUCCCCCAACAUCCACACAUGCCAAAAAAAAACCACAUUGGGGAGGUUACCUUUCCCCAGUGCAGGUGGGUUUCAUCUAACUUAAACAGGGAAGUGGAAGUCUUUCUUCUACGUCUUUAUGAAUUCAUUUUAUAUAAAACAGUAGCAGCGUAGAAUGUGGGUGUUCUCUUUGCCACCUCACAGCGUGAGUUGUGAACAAAAAAGCCCGUGUACACACUUAGAAGGACGACUAAGCAGCACCGAGCAUGAACUGAGCAUGGGAACUUUUUACAAAGACAAGCAGGGUCUUCUUGAUAGUCCUCUCGCCAAAGAAGACCCAGUUUGACGCUCCGCUUGAGCUGCGCCAUCAGGAAGCGCGUCACCCCUGUAUGGCUACCCUAAGCCGGAUCACCUCUCUUGAUCAGCAUCUUGAGCCUGAAGAUGUUCCCUCUCCAGAUUGAACCUGCGGCUUCCAGAAAGCAUUCUACCAACUGAGCUACACUCCAGACCCCGAUCAUGUAACCUGAAUCUUGGUGUAGACAGGACAUGGCGUCGGGGUACUAACUAAGACUUCCCGGAGGACAAAGAGAAAAGAAUCUCAAGUCAGCUGAGGCUGGAUAUGGUGGUGGUGCCUGACACAUACCUGUGACGCCAGCAGUUGGAGGUGAAGACUGGAGGAUUGUCACAAGUUGGAGGCCAGCCUCGACGGGUGGGGAGAUGCCUAAGUGUACUUUGGGAGCCAGAGGACACCUUGCCGGGAUUGGAUCUCUUCUGGAGUUGCCUCUCCUCCUUCCACCCUUUCAGUUCCAGGGGCUGAACAAAGGUCGUCAGGGUUGACGCAAACCCCUUUAUCUGCCCAGCCUUCUCACCCUUCCCUUCCCAUCCUCUUUCAAUCCUACAGUCUUUCAGCCCUCCCCAAUCCCACAACACGGAGGUUUUCAUUUUCAGGAAACUCUUUCCUAGCUCAUGUAGCUCAGACCUGUAAUCUUAGCACUUGAGAGCCUGAGGCAGGAGGAUUGCCAUCGUAGGCCAUCUAGGAAACUCUAAGCCAGCGUGUCUACGGAGCAAGAUCCUGUUUGUAACAAAAUUCCUUCCUUCCCUGUCAGGCCUCCCUCAGGCCCUUCCAUUUUCCCAGCCACUUCUCCAGGUCAUUUCUACAGGGUACAUGUGAAAACUGAGUAAUGCUAGGACUGGAACUGCUUCUCAAAGAGUUUCCUAGUAGGGAAGGGUGCUGCUCCACCACGUAAGCUUUGAGUGGGUGCAGGCUCACCAGAGAGGACUGUUUCUUUUCAAUGCUUAUUGUUCUUACUGGCUUCUUUAUUCAAACUGCUAAAUAAAAUACUUUCAUAUUUGUAGCUCAAAGACAGACAUUACUUUUUCAGUCUAGUACAUUCUAAAGCUAUAGUGAGAAGGGAAAUAAUUCCUUAACUGCCUCCUAAUUAGCAGUGUGUCUUCCCUAUUCCCCGAGAAUCAGUAAAUCCGAUUAUUGUGGCAAGGGUAGAUGUCUGUUCCUUUCUUGAUCCCCUUUGGGGUUUGUUUGAAUAAGAAUAUGGUUGUAGUCCCUUUAAUGGCUUUGCAAUGAUGUUCGCAAGAGAGGCCUUGAUGGUUUGAUUUUAGGAAGCCUCAAUUACAUUUUUGCCAAAGGCUAAUAUCAAUUUGGGAAUGAUAUAUUCUCCCAGUUAAAUAAAAUUAAAGAUAAGUGUAUGAAGACACAGAAAAAAAAAAAAAAAAAGAAUACAAGGACAGUAAGCAAGAGAGCGUGGGUCUAAGGACAAGCUUACAAAUCAAUGGGACCGAACUCAGAGUCUAGGAAGAAGCCUUUAUAUUUAUGGCCAAUUGAUUUUUUACAAAGGUGCCAAGGCAAUUUGGUGUGGAAAAGACGGUCUUUUUUAACAAAUGGCUCCCAGAAAACUGGAUACUUACAUGCAAAAAUGUGAAUCUAGACUCAGGCCAGAAUCCACAGAGUCAGACACCACACAAGAACCAAACCUACAAAGCCAUUAGGAAAUACAAGAUCGAGUUUCCAGGACUCUGAUUAGGCAAAGAGCUCCCAGAUCUGACAACAAAAGCACAAUAAUGAAGAAAAUAGAUCUUAGACAGUCUAAGAUUAAAAAAAAAAAAAAACAAAAACAAAAACAAAAAAACAAAACAACAACAACAACAACAACAAACCACUGUCAGCUGGAUGGGCGUGGUGACAUGAGCCUUUAAUCUUAAUACUUGGGAGGCAGGAGCAGGCAGAGCUCUGUGCAUUUGAGGCCCGGUUUGGUCUACAGAGUGAGUUUCAGGCCAGCCCGAGCUACACAGUGAUACCCUGUCUAAGAGAAGAAAAAGGAUAGUUAGCCUCACCAUUAGUCAUCAGAUAAAUGCAAAGCAUGGGGACUGGGGGCUUUUGCUCAGUACAACAAUUGUCUUGUAUGCACAGCUCUGCAUGCAACCCUUGGGGGCACAGUGAAAAAGAAAGAGUGUGAAUCAAAACCACAGUGAGCCGGCACUUCAUGCCUCCCAGAACGGUUCUGAUCAAUACGACAGGCAAUAGCAGGCAUUGAUGAGGCUGUUGAGACGCCGGAGCCUUCCUCAUGCUUAGAGCUUAUGGGAAUGGAAAACGCUACGGCACUGUG